This 542-nucleotide long non-coding RNA is filed under the name Manihot esculenta (cassava). RNAcentral describes it as "long non-coding RNA (MESC_LNC000730)". Lineage: Eukaryota; Viridiplantae; Streptophyta; Magnoliopsida; Malpighiales; Euphorbiaceae. The record is from RNAcentral.
UUCUAUUCUUCUGCAUGGCUUGCUUGCCUGAUGUAGUGCAACCUUCAUGACGCUACAACAAGAUGAAACCAAUCCCAUUGUUAGCUGACAAACAAACCCAAUUCUCAUUUUCAUAAAUUCUUCAUCGCCCUUCCGAUCAAACUACGAAACCCUCUCAAACUCAGAGAAUCCUAAAACUUUGAUGUUUUUAUCAACAAUUAAGGUAUUUGAUAGCUGAUUCAUAAUUCCAGUGAUAGUGCCUUUUGGGUUUCAUUAAAGCAUUUUCACAAACACCUGCAAAGUACACUUCAAAAAUGGACUCCGAAGUCACCAGUAUUGCACCAUCCUCUCUCUCCAGUUCUCCAUGCCGGUCAGUCUGCUAUGCUAAGAGCUCGUCAUGGGACUCUCACAAUGGAGAGAAAACGGCCCCGUCGUUCCACUACAUGUCGGUUCUUAGCCUUAUGGAUCUCCACCUCAUUCUCGCUCCUUUACUCGCCGCCACUCUCAUGAGUCCUCCUCUAGCAAAAUUUUCGGGUCAUUGAAUUCUUGAUCACGCGAAAUCU